Molecule: long non-coding RNA, 1161 nt
Organism: Aethalodelphis obliquidens (Pacific white-sided dolphin)
Lineage: Eukaryota; Metazoa; Chordata; Mammalia; Artiodactyla; Delphinidae
Exons: 4
Source: RefSeq, a predicted model, not a curated record
GCCGAGCGCAGGGUUCCGUGAGCAAGGAUUGGGUCGGUGUGCAGCGCUGCGGCCGCCCCUUUGGCGCUAGAACUCGCGGAGGGACGGUGUGCCGGGCGGCUCUCGGUUUCCCAGCUUCCCUGCCCGCCCCUUCCCAAAUUUCCCAAGACUUCAACCUGAAAGCGUGUGAAGCUGAGUUUCUAGAGCCUUUGUCUCCAUGAGAAAGAGCCUGAGAAUAAAUUUAUUGUAAAGGAAAUGGAGCCUGACAAUAUCAUUGGAGCACCUGGAUCCAGCCAAGCCUGAAGCCACUGUGUGUUUUUAUCAGAUGUUCAUUAUGACCAUUUUUAUACUUCACUCCUGAAGGAUAUUUAGCUUGUUUUGAGGCUUCUGCUGAUACCAACGAUGGGACAGUGAACUUCCUGGGUUGAAGGUAGAAUCUGCGUGUUCCCUUUUAUCAAGGACUGUACCACAACUACUGUGGAUUGAAGCACUCAUUACCCUACUUCCUCUUGAAGAGGGAAGGAGCUGGACACAAACUACCAAAUGAGAAGGUUUGAAAAGGAGCUGAACGAUCUGUUCGCGGAGACAGGCUGCUCAGGGCGGUGACCUUGGAAACGCAGCUGAACGGUUUCCCAAGACAGGCCCCAGGCCUCCUGGCCUCUCCUCUAAUGACCCUGAAAACAGGCAGCUUUGCAGGAGCAGCUAGAAAAUUCCAGAAACUGCAGGCCUUUGGGGCUGGGGGCUGGUUUUAACUUCCCCCAACCCCAUUGUACAGAUGCAGAGAGUGAGGCUGAGAGGCAGGAGAAAGAGACAGACCCAUAUGGGUCUGGUCUCCCCUCUUUCCCCAGAGUUAAGCUUGACUUGGCAAGAGGGUCAAGUGGCAUAUGAAGGUGCGGGAGGAUGUCCUCAGCCCCCGAAGUUCCAUUCGAGUCCCAGAAAGACCAGUGGCCAAUCUCAGGAUUUUAUAUUUCAACUGAGCUGUCCCCUCAGAUGAGGCUCCUUCUACCCUCCAUGUCCUGCCCCUUUAAGAAGAGACCAGUCCUUGCUUUAUGUCAUUCAUAGGAUUUAUUGUCACUUGCCAGUGGCUAGCAGGGGAAGGGGACACGCCCCCGAGCCUCACCACGGGGACAGGUGGCGCUGGGCCACCCAGCACUAUUUACACACGUUUCGCACGGGGCACGU